UUACAUUAAUACAUUUUGAUGAAUAUUAUAGUAAGUAAACAAAAUGGCAAACUAUAUUAUUACAAUUAAAGAACCUUUGUGAGCACUAUAGAAAGUAACUGAUUUAACUUAUUACAGUAAUGAACAGAUGCAAAUAUAGCAUGAAUUUUUCAGGAUGAGAACAAAUCAACAAUACAUACAAUAGGUAAUAAUCAGAUAGAUGAAUGGACACAUAUAAUUGGAAAUCAAUGGCGCCUAUUACAAUGGGCAGAUUUAAAAAUGAUUUUCCAUUGUUACACCUUCUGACUAGCAUCUCACAGCCUCUGUGUUCAAUUUUUGUUUUCUCCUUUAAGUGGAUUUCUUUCCUCAUUAUUUUUGAGCAAUCAAUUCAAAGUAUACUCAAAAUCAUAGCUUCCAACAUCAGCCUUUAGCAGUUGAUCAAAUCAUCAAAAAACAAAACAAAUCCCUGUAAAUGCUAGUUAUUCUCUCUUCAAUUUUCUAUUCUUAAUAUUAAUAGAAUUAUUCAUCAAGAAAGGAUUUUCAAAGUUCCAGCUCAGAUAGUGUGACGAUGUCGUGUGUUAAAGAAAAUAAAAAUAUGUAUACAGUAAUCAAAAGUACAACAUAAGUAAUC
RNAcentral lists this long non-coding RNA (610 nucleotides) under Mytilus galloprovincialis (Mediterranean mussel). Lineage: Eukaryota; Metazoa; Mollusca; Bivalvia; Mytilida; Mytilidae. The record is from RNAcentral.